RNAcentral lists this ribosomal RNA (418 nucleotides) under uncultured bacterium. Its description in RNAcentral is "bacterial SSU rRNA". It matches the Rfam family "Bacterial small subunit ribosomal RNA", at positions 358 to 769 of the family's 1533-position model. The record is from RNAcentral.
GGAAUAUUGGACAAUGGGGGCAACCCUGAUCCAGCAAUGCCGCGUGUGUGAAGAAGGCCUUCGGGUUGUAAAGCACUUUCGCCGGGGACAAACAAGGCGGGGCUAAUACCUCCGCUUCUGAUGGUACCCGGAGAAGAAGCACCGGCUAACUCUGUGCCAGCAGCCGCGGUAAUACAGAGGGUGCGAGCGUUACUCGGAAUUACUGGGCGUAAAGCGUACGCAGACGGUGAGAAAGGUCGGAUGUGAAAGCCCCGGGCUCAACCCGGGAACUGCAUCCGAAACCAUCUCGCUCGAGUAUGGGAGAGGGAAGCGGAAUUCCUGGUGUAGAGGUGAAAUUCGUAGAUAUCAGGAGGAACAUCUGCGGCGAAGGCGGCUUCCUGGCCCAUUACUGACGUUCAGGUACGAAAGCGUGGGUAGC